CUCAGAGCCCUGAGGCCUCUUGCACUGAACGCGCCGAUGUGUCCUCGUUAGGGUGACAGGUGUGUGUAUAGCCCGUUGACUGGACACGCCGGGCUGGGGGUGCGGGCCUCGCGGGACCUCGGAGGCCGCCCUUGGCGCGGGUAGUGGGCCGACCAGGGCAGGCGGGGUCUGUGCUGUUGGCGGAGAGCCGGCGGGAUCGGCGCGACGUGGCCCUGAGCAGGGGUUGCUCAGCGGGAGGCUGAGUGUCCGGGACUUGGGGAGAAGCGUGGGUGCCACCGAGAAUCGCUUUGGGUCGUUAAGUCGUCGGUGUUGCAGCUUCACGUUUUCCUGGGGCGACUCCCAGAGCUAUCUGAAGAUGGUUUUUUUAUUUUGAGAAGUAUGAGAUAUUCUUUCAUUUCUUUUUGUUGUAUUUAGAGAGAGUGCAAGUGGGGGAGGGGCAGAGGGAGGGACAGAAUCCAAAGCAGGCUGCAACCCGGCACCUAGCCAAUACAGCGCUGAAUCUCAGACCCUGGGAUGAUGACCUGAGUCAAAAUCAACUCCGAUGCUCAACCAUCUGAGCCACCCAGGCGCCCAGAGAAGUAUGGGGUAUUUUAAUCACUGUUUUUGUUUUCUGUUUCUUAAUGCUUUAUGUCAAGUUGGGAUAAUGAAUGAGGCCUGUAAAAUGGAUUCCAUUUAGGGAAUGUGUGGAUUUUGAUUCUAAUUGAUGAAAAUUUAAUUUUCAAUAUCUGAGGACAUUUGAGAGGGAUGUUUCUUGUUUCCUAUUGUUAACCUUAAAAACAAAACUGCCAGGGGGCGCCUGGGUGGCUCAGUCGGUGGGCAUGGGACUCUGGAUUUCUCAUCCCUUGAUGGCAGGGUCAUAGGAUUGAACCCCAAGUCGGGCUCCGCGCUGAGUGUGGAGAAUGCUUGGAUUGUCUCUCUCCCUGCGCCCCUCUUCCCUCCCCUGCGCGAGAGCGCUUGCUCGCUCGCUUUUUCUCCCUCUCUUAAGAAAAAAAAAAAAAAAAAAAAAAAAAGAACUGUCUGUUAUUUUAGCAGCAACUGAUGGGGUUAUUGGGGAAUGAAUAAAAGAGAAUUGCAAUCCGGGACAAACAAAGCUUUAGAAAAACUGUAGGGAAGCAUGGGAACCAAGGGGAGGCUUGCUUUUUUAAGGAGAAAAGGGGUAAUUUGGGAAGGUUGAUGUGAACUAAAAGUCCAUUGGAGUAAACAGAGUUUGAAGUGUGGUGGUUUCUCACUGGCUGAACUGUUGUUCUGGGGGCUGAGGAAAAGGUCUCUUCCUCCUGCUGGACUUGUUGAGUAGUAUCCACGUGCAAGGCCAAGUCCCCAAAGGGUCCAGUCCCUCUUCCUGUUGGGCCUGCAAUUGACUGUGUGUUCUAGGGUGUGAAAGUUUUCCCUGCCACAUCUGCCCACUCCAUUUUAGGGAGGUUUCCUAUUACUAGGUUUCACACCAUAAGCAUUAAAAAUCAGUAAGGAAAUUAGAUUUUCAAAUUUAAAUAGCUUCAUUUAUAUCUUUUUAAAAGAUUUAUUUAUUUUGAGAGAUCAUGAGAGGGGAGGGGCAGAGAGAGAGGGAGACAGAGAAUUCCAGGCAGGCUCUGCACUGUCAGCAAAGAGCCCAGUGUGGGGCUCAAACUCAUGAACCAUGAGAUCAUGACCUAAGCCAAAAUCGGGAAUUGGACGCUCAACCCAUUGAGCCCCUCCAGGUGCCCCAAUGUACACGUCAUAAACUUUAACAUGGAAGUGUAAGUUAACAUCUCUUUUUUAUAUUUCCUUUGGAAAAUCUGAUCCUGGUUGGAACUUGGCACUACCUGACUCUAAAUACUCUGCUGCAUAACUUCUCAAAGAUUAUUUACAAGAGAAGACAUUCUUCUGGAUUUCUCGAAACUUUUUUUUAAUAGUUUCUUUUUUUAAUGUUUAUUUAUUUUUGAGAGAGAGCGAGCAAGCAGGGGAGGGACAAAGAGACAGACAGAUAGAGGAUCUGAAGCGAUCUACAUGCUAACCACAGAGAGCUGAAUGCGGGGCUUAAACUCAUGAAACAUGAGAUCAUGACCUGACCCUAAGUCAGAUGCUUAACCAACUGAGCCACCCAGGUGCCCUCUUUCUCAAAAGUUUUAAGUUGAUUUAAUAUUAGUAUUUGAACUCAAAUCAGUUCAGAAAUUGGAAGAUAUAUUUCUGUUAGGCAACAGAACAGUAACCACCCUGGAGGUCCUAUAAAGAAGGGGACCCAGUGCUCCUCCAAGUCUCCAAAUCUCCAUUCCCCUGAGCUCAACUUACUCCACUCAGACCUGCUGGGAAGUGGACUCCAUUAAGGAGCCAGGACUUUACAUCAUUGGUGGUUAAGUGACCUUGACAUUUGGACUCUCCGUUUGGUUUUUCUUUUUCCCUCUAUGCUUACCUACGAGUCCAGUGAUAGAAUUCUGUCUCUGACCCAUCCAGCCUCCAGACCACCUUCUCUGUUAAAUCUUCAGUGUUUAGGUGUGUACAUAAUAUGCACUUGGGAGUCUCCACAUUAGAUGGAGUGAGUUUUCUUGGGUCUAUGUGGGGUACAUAUCCCUAUGAGUAACUGAGCCCAAAAGGUGGGUAUCUUGAGUAAACCAAACUCUGUACACAAUGUCUUCAAGUCUCUGUUUUCCUGGGUCCUUUUUUCAGGAGAAAAUUCAACCCUACAUAAGUACUGUUUAUUAUAAUGGAAACUAUUAUUAAGCCACUUUUCAUUGAGGUUACAAGUUAUUUCACAUAACUGUGAAUUUUGACUUGUGCAUUGGCUUUUUCAUGUGUGAAUCUGCAUGUUAUCAAAACUCUCUGAAGAAAGAGCUCUGAACACAUGGCUACAGAGCAUACACACACAAACCACUGGUAGCGUUUGCUGAAAUGUAGUAGCUGGUCAGGCCUGGGGAUUAUUGAUGCUUUAAUGGCAUGGAGAACAAUGAUGAGUGAUGUCAGCUGACUCAACACAUGACAAAUCACAUUGGUGAUCUGUAAAGACUCAAAAGGAUGACUGAACCUGAUAGGUUGAAGAUAGCAUCUCCUCUCUCACCUGAAUGACCAUUGUCCUGUGACUGAAUGUUAACACUCGACUGCAUAACUGAGACAAAAAUCAGGAUGUCAGAACUUCAAAUGACCCACCACUCCUGUAUUGAAACCUUGAGCCACUCUGCCUCUUCCUGACACCGGGACAUAGCAGCUGUCUCUCAGUCACAUUGAGCUUCCAUCAAGGAAGCUUGCCUUUUCCAUUAGAAGCCCUGUAGAUAUCAAAGAUGCAUAAAACAUUGCAACAUAAGAACUAGGAUAUCCUGGGAAAUCGUUGGGAAUUAUAUAUCAACAGGGCAGAGCCUAGGGAUUUGAUAUUCUCUUAUUGUUUUCCAGAUUGAACGCUGCUCAUGUUCUGUCUGAUAAACACUAAUUAUCUUGCACUGCUGAGUUAAAGGGUAGAAGGAACCACGGGCUCCUGGGUGGCUCAGUUGAUUCUGCAAACAGCUUUGGCUCAGGUCAUGAUCUCACGGUUCAUGGGUUUGAGCCCUACGUCGGGCUCUGUGCCAACAGCUCAGAGCCUGGAGUCUGCUUUCAAUUCUGUGUCUCCCUCUCACUCUGCCCCUUCCCCUCUCACACUCUCUCUAAAUAAAUAAAUAAAACAAUAAUAAUUUUAAAAACGAUAGAAGGAACCAGCAGUAGGAAGCCAACUAUCUCAGACCCAAUAUAAGUUUCUCUAUCUUAUUACUUUAAGAUCAGUGUCUACUUUCUCCUCUCUGCCUCAGAUAUCAUUGUAUUGGGAUAAAUAUAAGCUCUGUCUCAGUAAUUGUAUCAUAAUCCUUCUAUCCAUUUUCCUUUCAAAACAAGUUUCCAUAUUGUCUUUUGUUUGCCUAAAAAUUACACAAACUGGUUUUAAUACUUUUUGCCAGUGAUGAAAACAGCACAGAAGAUAUUUAAUAAAUGCUGAAACCUAGCUAGCUUAUUAGCUGUCACCGGAGGGCUGUUACUGUCACUUUCUAUCCCAGUGCCUAGACCCACUUGCACAUUCACAGUCCUGUUUGGCUUGUCCCACCUUAGAACAUUUGUACUUGUCUGUUCUUCUCUGUAUGGCUCUUCCCCAGAUCUCGUCAUGAAUGCCUGCCACUAUCAUUUCUCUACUUUCUCAGAACCGCAUUCUCUGAACACAUGUUUUUACAACAAAUUUUCUUUUCUAACAACAAAUAUUUUCAGGAUUUAUUCAAGUAGGUCAUAUUUACAACUGUGCCUAGGGGCCCUUGGGUGGCUCAGUUGGUUAAGCAUCCGACUUCAGCUCAGGUCAUGAUCUCACAGUUCACGGGUUCAAGCACUGUGUCUGGCUCUGUGCUGACAGCUCAGAGCCUGGAGCCUGCUUCAGAUUCUGUGUAUGUGUCUCUGCCCCUCUGCUCUCCCUGCCUCUCUCACUCUCUCCCUCUUUCUUUCACAAAUAAAUACACGUUAAAUAAAAAAAGAAGAACUGCCUAAAAUUCAAAAAGGGGAAUCUCUUAUAUCUGUUUUUGGAUUUUUUUCUUAUAGAGAUCUUUGUAAGUUGUUAUUCCUGUAUAAUUUAUCAACAUUCUGGGUCUUGAAUCCAUAUGUCUGUGACCCCACUGCCCCUGCCAUUCUGCAGAAUGGAUGUCGUAUUAGCAGGCAUGAAAACUACAGUAAUCUUAUUGUCCAUUUCCAUCAGAGCUCUUGGGUGACCAGAUGCAUUGUCAAUGAGCAGUGAUAUUUUGAAAAGGAUUUUUUUUCUGAGCAGUAGGUCUCAACAGUGGGGUUAAAUACUCAGCAAACCACGUUGUAAAGAGAUGCGCUAUCAUCCAGCCUUUGUUGUCUGUUGAUGGAGCUCAGCCAGGGUCGAUUUAGUAUAAUUCUUAAGAGCCCCAGGAUUUUCAGGAUGGUACAUGGGUGUUGGCUUCAACUUAGUCACCAGCCGCAUUAGCUCCUAACGAGAGUCAGUCUGUACUUCGCAGCUUUGAAGCCAGCCGCUGACUUCUCUCUGGCUAUGAAAGUCCUGGAUGGCAUCUUCCAACAGAAGGCUUCCAGUAGAUUUUCCAACUUAAAAGCUGUUGGUCGGUGCAGCCACCAGCAUGAAUUGUCUCAGCCAGAUCCUCUGGAUAACUGGCUGCAGCUUCUGUAUCAACACUCGCUGCCUCACCUUGCAGUUUUAUGUUAUGGAGACGACUUCUUUUCCUUACUCCCACCAACCAUCCUCUGCUCGCAUCAGAUGUUUUUCUGAAGUUUCUUCACCUCCCUCAUCCUUCAGAGUAUUAAUUGAAGAGAGUCAGGGCCUUGCUCUGGAUGAGGCUUUGGCUUCAGGGAAUGGUGACCUUCUAUACAGACCACACAAACCUCCAUAUCUACAAUAGGUCUGUUUCAGUUCACUUUCUUUUUUUUAAUGUGUAUUUAUUUUUGAGAUAGAGACAGAGCACGAGCAGAGGAGGGGCAGAGAGAGAGAGACACACACACAAAAUCCUAAGCAGGUUCCAGACUCUGAGCCGUCAGCACAGAUCCUGACACGGGGCCGGAUCCCAUGAACCGUGAGAUCGUGACCUGAGCCGAAGUCGGACGCUUAACCGACUGAGCCACCCAGGCUCCCCUCACUUCACAUUCUUAUCACCCAUGUGUUCACUGGAGUUGCACUUUUAAUUUCCUUCAAGGACUCUUCCUUUUCAUUCACAGCUUGGCUGACUUUUUGGCACAAGACACCUAGCUUUCAGCCUGUCUCUGCUUUCAGCGUGCCUUUCUCACGAAGCUCAUUCAUUUCUAGCUCUUGAUUUAACGUGACAGACCUUGAACACUUAGGAGGCCGGUGUAGGGCUGUCUCAUGGAAAAGAGGCCCCAGGAGAGGAGGAGGGGGACAGCUGGUAGGUGGAGCAGUCAGAAUACACACAACACUUACUGAUUAAGGUAGCCCACACCUAUGGGCACAGCUCGUGGCACCCCAAAACAAUUGCAAUAGUAACAUCAAAGAUCACUGAGCACAGACCACAGUAACAAAUAUGAUAAUGAAAAUGUUUUAAAUAUUGUGAGAAUUCCCAAACUGUGACACAGAGAUAAUGUGAGCAAUUGCCCUUGGAAAAAUGGCACCGAGCAACAUGGCGUUGCCACACACCUUUGUGAAAAGCAGUAUCUGUAAAGCACAAUACAACAAAGUGUGCCUGCCUGUAGUUAAGACCUGGAGGAGAAGAGGUUCUCUAUUCUUCUGGGCCCAGGCCACCACCUUCAGCAGCCCCCUCCUCUUCAUCUCCAGGCAAGCAAAUGAAAUCCUAGAGCAGACCCUUCCUCUUCUCCAAGUCAGAUUUAGUUGACAUGCUACCGACUGCCAUGCUCUACACGCACAAAAUAUGAUAGGUUCCAUAAAUAAAUUAUACCUUCAAUGUUCAUUUUCCCAUACAUAGGAUGUGUUUCAACUAUUUUUGAAUAAUACGAAAAAGUAUAUACGUCUUAGGAUCUGUCUUCAUAUAUAAAAGAAUAAAUUACUUGUGAAGGAAAAUCAGGCAAUGUAUUUUCAUUUCAGGCACUGGCAUUUGGUUCCCAAAAGAACAGUUUGUCCUUUUUUUCUUCUUAAUGUGUUUGUAUCAAAUAUAAAAGUGAACCUAUAGUAACUCUCAAAAGGGAGCAUAAUUUUUACAGCGGGAAUUUAAGGUAAUCAGGUUCUCGUUUCCCUGGUUCUCGGACACGUUCCUGUCUUGCCAGCCUCGUCACACUGCACCAUCCUUGAGGCAAUGAGGGCUUCUGCUCAUCAGAAAGGAGUGUCUGCGGUAGGAGACUGUGGACCAGGCUUGUGCCACACAGAGAGUGGAGCUCUAUUAGAGAGUAAAAAGGAUACGUGGUCAGAUCCUGCGUUGUUUAAAGGCUCAUUUAGAAGAGAUCAUUUAAAGAAAUUUUUAAAAAACAAGAAAACUUUGUGUACAGAAUCUCAAAGGAUAUAUCUUUUAGGAAAACUUGUAGUAGAAAAUACAGAUGUUUUAGUCAGUUUCCUAAAAACUUAUUUGAGCAAAGCCUUAGGACUCCCCAUGGAGGUAGGCAGGAGCACUAUUAGAGACUUUCCCCCCUCCCCUGGUAACAGAACUCGUGUAAAAUUGCUGAGAGAAGCCAAACCAUUUGUGUCCCAGGGGCUGAGAGCAAACUACAGUCAGGUGAGUUGGGUGGACUGGACGGGGAGGCAGGCUAGUGGAUUUCUGAAGAUGAUGGCAGGUCUAAAGGUCCUACUUGUAAGGCCAGUGAGAAAGCAGGGAAGAAGUUAAAGCUGGAGAGUGUUAGGAAUGAAAUCUGUGCUUGUAAGUGAUAUUAGCCCCACCCAGCAGCCUCUGGAGAGGGGAGUGGUUGCUGGAGGUUGAGCUCUAGAAACACUCUUGAACACUGGAGACCAACCUGCAGGCUGGUGAGAGCUUCCAUCUGCUGGAGGGUAAUCCUGCCCACCUCCAUGGGGACUGAUGGAUCCUGCCCUGGGGACCCUUCUGGACCUCACCCGUGUACCUCUUCAUCUGACUGUUCAUCCUUGUAGUAAACCAGUAAAACUGAGUAAAGUGUUUUCCUAAAUUCUAGGAGUCAUUCUAGAAAAUUGCCAAGCCUAAUUUGAGGGAUUGUGGGAACCCUUGAAUCCACAAUGCUCUCGGCAGAAAAUGUGGGCGGUCUGGGCACUACAUUUAUGGUUGGCAUCUGAAGUAGAGGAAGUCUCAUGGGGCUAAGACUUUGAACUUGUGGGAUCUGAUGCUGACCCCAGGAAGAUGGUAUCCAGAAUGAACUGAAUCCUUGGACACCCAGGCAAUGUCAGAGAAUUAGUUGCUGGUGUGAAGAAAACUAUACGAAUUUUUAGAUUUUGAGAAAUCUAUGACUGUUGUCUGUUACAGGGUGUUGGUCAGUAAGUGGGUGGAAGAAAUGGACGUAUAAGGAAGGUAAGAAGGCAGAACUAACAAAAUAUGCUUUUUUUUGUCUCAGAUGUUAUUGAGCACGAGCCAUGUAACCAGGCAUUGGGAUAGGUCAUGCGUAUGCAGUUAGAAUAAAACAGCUUUUUUUAUUUUUGGGGGGUGGAUGCAUGCAGAAAGGAUUACAUGGGGAUUGAAGUGGGCACUAAAAGGAAUGGAAUUAGGGGCUGAUAGACUUCAAGUGGUGUCAGAGGAUUGUAGGUUCCCAGGUGUGAGGAGAACCUGGGCAUGGGGAAUGAUUCUGUGGACAAGCUGGAAUGAGAGAGGCUGUGAUUGCUGGAGGGAUCUCAGAUUCUUCAUCUGACAGGGGGAAUUCCUGCUUUUCCUGCAUGCGGUUUGCACUCUCUGUGAGUGGAAAUCCGGAGGAAGAGACGUGGUGGCCGAACCCUUGAUGAUGCACCUGCAGAAAAACGGGAUUAACAUACAGAGGAUUGAUGCAGUGAUCAUUGUUAAGAAUGGAGAGCUCACUGCAGGAGAGAUCACUGUGGGGCCAUCCUUCGGACGAGCCAUCUCAGGAGCCCCUAACCGGACCGCAGGACCUGUCUGCCCUGAUACCUUAUAAAGAACAAGAAUCUGUGACCUACAAAGAUGUAGCUGUAGACUUCACCCAGGAAGAGUGGGCCCUGAUGGACACAUCCCAGAGAACGCUGUACAGAGAUGUGACGCUGGAAAACAUUAGUCAUCUGGUCUCUGUGGGUGAGUCUGUCACCAUCUAUUCAUUCAUUCAUCCAUCCUUCCAUACAUCCAUCCAUCUUUUUGUUUAUUAACCUUGUAUCCAGGAGAGCUUCCACAUAUUCUAAUACAGCUGUCUGCCCUAACUCAUAUCUUUUGUAGCAUUUCUGAAUACUAGAUGGAAUUUGUAACUUUCUCUACUUUCAUCCUGUGUGUUACAUGAUAAUUUGAAUACAGUCUUCUUGGCCACAAGUGUGUAUCUACUGCACUUUCUCCAAGACCCAGAACAAUGCUGGGAAUACAAUGAAUAUUUUUUGAAUGAAUAAAUAAAUAUCCUGAGUAUUUUCUGUCCUGGGCAGUAUGAUGAAGCGUGAGCACAGUAGAAAAUAUAACAUCUUGUAUCACUUUCCACAUAAAACUCCACAGAAUAUUCUGGUGGAGCUUAUGUGUAUUGUAUUCCUUUGAAAAUAGUGUUAAUCCCCUUGUGAGAACAUUUAAUUUCUUCUGGAUGCAAACACUAAGCCUUCUGCUCUCUCUCAGCUUGGGCAGGCGCAUCAGCAAUCAGAGAUCUUACUGUCCUUGGGUGCAGUGUCAGGCUGAGAACAUUUAUCAAUGUUUUUAGUGUUCAAGG
Panthera uncia (snow leopard) is the source of this 9210-nucleotide long non-coding RNA. RefSeq lists it as uncharacterized. The transcript has 4 exons. The record is from RefSeq and is a predicted model, not a curated record. Lineage: Eukaryota; Metazoa; Chordata; Mammalia; Carnivora; Felidae.